AAAAUAACAAAUCGCCACUCAUUGUCGGCCGCUAACUAAAGGCAAGCCGGUAAAUCAAUGGGAAUUGGCACCACAUCUUGUGCACUGUACCGUCUUUGGUGGUGGGGUGGGCAUCGCAGUACGCUUUGUCUCAUCUGUCAGCUUGGGUCGCAAGGUCCAGGCCGUGGACAAGCCACCGCAUGUAUUCAAACAUCUUCUUUUCGUUUGUCUGACAUUUCAAUUUGUAUUAAUAUACAAA
This 238-nucleotide unclassified non-coding RNA is filed under the name uncultured fungus. RNAcentral's name for it is "sequence contains ITS1". Lineage: Eukaryota; Fungi. The record is from RNAcentral.